CCUACGGGAGGCAGCAGUGGGGAAUAUUGCACAAUGGGCGCAAGCCUGAUGCAGCCAUGCCGCGUGUGUGAAGAAGGCCUUAGGGUUGUAAAGCACUUUCAGUCGUGAGGAAAGGUGUGUGCUUAAUACGUACAUACUGUGACGUUAGCGACAGAAGAAGGACCGGCUAACUCCGUGCCAGCAGCCGCGGUAAUACGGAGGGUCCGAGCGUUAAUCGGAAUUACUGGGCGUAAAGCGCGCGUAGGUGGAUUGGUCAGUCAGAUGUGAAAGCCCAGGGCUCAACCUUGGAACUGCAUCUGAUACUGCUAGUCUAGAAUACAGUAGAGGGUAGUGGAAUUUCCUGUGUAGCGGUGAAAUGCGUAGAUAUAGGAAGGAACACCAGUGGCGAAGGCGACUACCUGGACUGAUAUUGACACUGAGGUGCGAAAGCGUGGGGAGCAAACAGGAUUAGAUACCCUGGUAGUCCACGCCGUAAACGAUGUCUACUAGCCGUUGGAAGACUUGAUCUUUUAGUGGCGAAGCUAACGCGAUAAGUAGACCGCC
Molecule: ribosomal RNA, 543 nt
Filed under: uncultured marine bacterium
Lineage: Bacteria
Description: bacterial SSU rRNA
Rfam family: Bacterial small subunit ribosomal RNA
Source: RNAcentral